RNAcentral lists this ribosomal RNA (446 nucleotides) under uncultured bacterium. RNAcentral describes it as "partial 16S ribosomal RNA". It matches the Rfam family "Bacterial small subunit ribosomal RNA", at positions 338 to 795 of the family's 1533-position model. The record is from RNAcentral.
CCUACGGGAGGCUGCAGUCGAGAAUCAUUCACAAUGGGGGAAACCCUGGUGGUGCGACGCCGCGUGGGGGAAUGAAGGUCUUCGGAUUGUAAACCCCUGUCAUGUGGGUGCAAAUUAAAAAGAUAGUACCACAAGAGGAAGAGACGGCUAACUCUGUGCCAGCAGCCGCGGUAAUACAGAGGUCUCAAGCGUUGUUCGGAAUCACUGGGCGUAAAGCGUGCGUAGGCUGUUUCGUAAGUCGUGUGUGAAAGGCGCGGGCUCAACCCGCGGACGGCACAUGAUACUGCGAGACUAGAGUAAUGGAGGGGGAACCGGAAUUCUCGGUGUGGCAGUGAAAUGCGUAGAUAUCGAGAGGAACACUCGUGGCGAAGGCGGGUUCCUGGACAUUAACUGACGCUGAGGCACGAAGGCCAGGGGAGCGAAAGGGAUUAGAUACCCCGGUAGUC